RNAcentral lists this ribosomal RNA (468 nucleotides) under uncultured bacterium. RNAcentral describes it as "partial 16S ribosomal RNA". It matches the Rfam family "Bacterial small subunit ribosomal RNA", at positions 28 to 507 of the family's 1533-position model. The record is from RNAcentral.
GACGAACGCUGGCGGCGUGCUUAACACAUGCAAGUCGAACGGAAAGGCCCUGCUUUUGUGGGGUGCUCGAGUGGCGAACGGGUGAGUAACACGUGAGUAACCUGCACUUGACUUUGGGAUAACUUCAGGAGAAUGGGGCUCAUAUCGGAUAGGAGCUACUGCUGCAUGGGGGGGGUUGGAAAGUUUCGGCGGUUGGGGAUGGACUCGCGGCUUAUCAGCUUGUUGGUGGGGUAGUGGCUUACCAAGGCUAUGACGGGUAGCCGGCCUGAGAGGGUGACCGGCCACAUUGCGACUGCGGUACGGCGCAGACGCCUACGUGAGGCAGCAGUGGGGAACAUUGCGCAAUGGGCGGACGCCUGAGGCAGCAACCUCGCGUGCGUGAUAACCUCUUUCGGGUUAUAAACCGCUUUCUCCUGUGACGAAGCGUUAGUGACGGUAAUUGGUAAAAAAGCACCGGCUAACUACGUG